GUCUACGACCAUACCACCCUGAACAAGCCUGAUCCUGUCUGAUCUCGAAAGCUAAGCAGAGUCGGGCCUGGUUAGUACUUGGAUGGAAGAUCACCUAGGAAGACCAGGUGCUGUGAGUG
Ribosomal RNA from Pteropus vampyrus (large flying fox), 119 nucleotides. Lineage: Eukaryota; Metazoa; Chordata; Mammalia; Chiroptera; Pteropodidae. The record is from Ensembl.